UUAAAAUGUUAUUUUCUUUGAAAAAAGUUAAUGUCUUUUUUAUGUAUGACUCUUUAUCCAACUCAACGAGGCCUGCAUUUUUGUCUCCCAUGGUAACAAUACGAUUUUCUAUUUUAAUUUUAUGUUUCAGAUUUUUAAUGAUGCGAAGAAUUAAUUUAGUAUGGAAAGAUUUUAUGUUGACGUUCUUAUUCCCACUCGUUUUCCCUCACUCUUUCACCUUUAUCAUCUGGCGAACGUUCCUUAUGACCUUCAGUCCAAUUUCAUCCCUCAUCAUGUUGACUCAAGUUAUUUAAUUUUAAAGGAAAUUUUAACGUGUUAAUUGUUUGGUAAUUUGUUUUGUCGUUAAUUUUUAACAUUUAUUUUUAAACACUUUGAAAAACGAGAUUUACGAUGAAUAGAAAAACGCCAUUUUAAUUUUUUGGAUUUUUCAAUUUACUCUUCAAGUUUUUUUACAUUUGAAUUUUUCGUAAACGGAAUCUUUUUGAAGAAAUACUCUGAAACAAUACUCUCUUCACUCUCGAUGCUCCUACACCGACGCAAAAAACCAUACAACUUACCUGGAAAAAAACCACCAAAUCGAUAAUAGAGGCAUCUCCAAUAGGCCCCGAGAUCAAGAAAACCUUAAU
Molecule: long non-coding RNA, 626 nt
Filed under: Onthophagus taurus
Lineage: Eukaryota; Metazoa; Arthropoda; Insecta; Coleoptera; Scarabaeidae
Description: uncharacterized LOC111421871, transcript variant X2
Source: RNAcentral